Molecule: ribosomal RNA, 651 nt
Filed under: uncultured Rhizophagus
Lineage: Eukaryota; Fungi; Glomeromycota; Glomeromycetes; Glomerales; Glomeraceae
Description: SSU rRNA
Rfam family: Eukaryotic small subunit ribosomal RNA
Source: RNAcentral
AAGCUCGUAGUUGAAUUUCGGGGUCAGUAGGUUGGUCAUGCCACUGGUAUGUACUGGUCUCACUGAUUCCUCCUUCCUGAUGAGCCGUAAUGCCAUUAAUUUGGUGUUGCGAGGAAUCUGGACUGUUACUUUGAAAAAAUUAGAGUGUUUAAAGCAGGCUAACGCUUGAAUACAUUAGCAUGGAAUAAUGAAAUAGGACGUUCGAUCUUAUUUUGUUGGUUUCUAAGAUUGACGUAAUGAUUAAUAGGGAUAGUUGGGGGCAUUAGUAUUCAAUUGUCAGAGGUGAAAUUCUUGGAUUUAUUGAAGACUAACUACUGCGAAAGCAUUUGCCAAGGAUGUUUUCAUUAAUCAAGAACGAAAGUUAGGGGAUCGAAGACGAUCAGAUACCGUCGUAGUCUUAACCAUAAACUAUGCCGACUAGGGAUCGGAUGAUGUUAAUUUUUUAAUGACUCAUUCGGCGCCUUACGGGAAACCAAAGUGUUUGGGUUCCGGGGGGAGUAUGGUCGCAAGGCUGAAACUUAAAGGAAUUGACGGAAGGGCACCACCAGGGGUGGAGCCUGCGGCUUAAUUUGACUCAACACGGGGAAACUCACCAGGUCCAGACAUAGUAAGGAUUGACAGAUUGAGAGCUCUUUCUUGAUUCUAUGGGUG